Long non-coding RNA from Cotesia glomerata, 934 nucleotides. RefSeq lists it as uncharacterized. The transcript has 2 exons. NCBI's taxonomy places the organism in Eukaryota, Metazoa, Arthropoda, Insecta, Hymenoptera, Braconidae. The record is from RefSeq and is a predicted model, not a curated record.
AACAGUUAAAUAAAAAUUAAGAUUAUUCAUUUCUUUUCUUUAUAAACUAAACUUUUUCGUUAUGACGACUUCUGAAAAUCCGCCUUAUUGUUUUAUAAAUAUCCAAGUAAAAAAAAACAGGUAAUUAACUAAAAUAUGAAUAAUAGAAAAAAAGUGAUAAUUUUCCUUCACUAGUUGAAAAAAUUUUCACGUGCCGGUAUGAAGAGGACAAAAAGAAUAAGAUGAAGGUUCACGAAAUGUAAACAAUAGGUAAACAUCUUAUUUAUUAUUUCGAUUCCAAGAAAUAAGCACUCAUUAUUAUUUAAAGUAAUAUUAAUAUCAGUGAUAAAUGGUGAAAUGAGGAUUAUGAUUUUCGUUGAGUUAUUUACAGGUAUUUAACAUCUCAUCAGUUCUGAAACACUGAAAUAUCUCCAAUGGACACAGUUAAGCGAAGGACAUCGUCUGUAAAUAUAGUAAUGGCAUAGAAAAUGAUCUGGAGGAAUAGAAAUAGUUUUAUUCGAGCUAACCAAGCAAAGCGAAAAACUAAAUCUUGUAAAGACAUUAUUCGCGUAUUAAAAUUAUUUUUCUGAGUUGAUUACUAGACAUAAUAUAAUGUAAUAUUUUACAGAGUACGUUUGAGCCAACGAUGCUUCUAUCAAAGAACUAACAAGACAACAAGAUCCGAGAUACUAUAUGAAGCUGUAACUUUUUUACUAAUUAGAUUUAAAGAAAAAAAAAUGUACAGUACCAGUACUAAAGUUAUUAUGAAUCUAUGCAAUAUUAGUAUUUACUAUAACUCUUUGUACUUCAUGUAUUUUUUCUUAAAAAUAUUUUUGUAAAACAUAGGAUAAUUUUGAUAUAUCUAUGGAUAGAUGCUCUUGCAUCUCUAUAGAUUUGUAUGCUGGAAACUAAUAAAUAAAAAUAAAUAAAUAUAUUUAAUUGAGUUGAAAAUGAA